RNAcentral lists this ribosomal RNA (481 nucleotides) under uncultured bacterium. RNAcentral describes it as "partial 16S ribosomal RNA". It matches the Rfam family "Bacterial small subunit ribosomal RNA", at positions 30 to 507 of the family's 1533-position model. The record is from RNAcentral.
UUGAACGCUGGCGGCAUGCUUUACCCCUGCAAGUCGAACGGUAACAGGCCGCAAGGUGCUGACGAGUGGCGAACGGGUGAGUAAUGCAUCGGAACGUGCCCAGUCGUGGGGGAUAACUACUCGAAAGAGUAGCUAAUACCGCAUACGAUCUAUGGAUGAAAGCGGGGGACCGUAAGGCCUCGCGCGAUUGGAGCGGCCGAUGUCAGAUUAGGUAGUUGGUGGGGUAAAGGCUCACCAAGCCAACGAUCUGUAGCUGGUCUGAGAGGACGACCAGCCACACUGGGGCUGAGACACGGCCCAGACUCCUACGGGAGGCAGCAGUGGGGAAUUUUGGACAAUGGGCGCAAGCCUGAUCCAGCAAUGCCGCGUGCAGGAAGAAGGCCUUCGGGUUGUAAACUGCUUUUGUACGGAACGAAACGGCUCUGGUUAAUACCCGGGGCUAAUGACGGUACCGUAAGAAUAAGCACCGGCUAACUACGUG